UCAUGUUGUAGCCUAGGAUGGUCUGAACCC
This 30-nucleotide non-coding RNA is filed under the name Rattus norvegicus (Norway rat). The record is from RNAcentral. Lineage: Eukaryota; Metazoa; Chordata; Mammalia; Rodentia; Muridae.